RNAcentral lists this long non-coding RNA (4272 nucleotides) under Mus musculus (house mouse). Its description in RNAcentral is "Ftx transcript, Xist regulator, non-protein coding, transcript variant 2 (Ftx)". The record is from RNAcentral. Lineage: Eukaryota; Metazoa; Chordata; Mammalia; Rodentia; Muridae.
GCAGCACAGCGCAGCGCUCCUGGAGAGGCUGUGGGUUCGUGGCAUCCGCGCCGCGGCCGCAAGUAUAGCAGGUUUCGUACCUGGUGUUCAUCGCCGUUAAGUCAUCGCUGCUGCCACCCAGGCACGGCUCUCUAUGCCGCCGCUCCCUCCACCCUCUAGGCACUGCCUGCCGUAAGAAUUUUAACUGCGACACUCGCUUCAGCAGGAGAUUUUAUUGGCUGCAGACACACGCAGCAUCUUCUUGCGCUCCUCCUUGAGGUGGAUGGGCAGCUAGCUGGAGAUGACACAGGAUGAUGCGCAUCUUUCGCACGCUGGCUCCAAGAUCUCCGCUGCCAGAUGCAGCAACAAAGCUUCUUUGUACAGACAGCCCUGGACACACUUCCAGCAGCAAUUCUUCUUGCAGGAACUGGUGCAAGAACAGGAUUUAUUCGUGGCACAGGAGCAGUUGGUGUCCACUGGGAGUGGAGGCAGAAGAGAGACCAGAGCGGGUAUGUUAGGAGAGAAAGCAGUGACUUCAACAGAAGUGGAGUAAAUAAAGAUGAUCACAGAACUUGGAAGCUGACGAAAUUAAUUUUGGAAAAGAGCUGGCUUGGAGCAUGACAGAAGAAUUCGAUGGAAAGAGUGCUGGGAGCCCAACUCAAGACUGAUGUGUGCUUGGCAGGCAGUCUACCCCCGAUCUCAGUCCUCCAGCCUUUCGGCCUUUUUUCCUUUUUGGAGACAGAAUUGCAUCAUAUGGCAUCCUACACAGUCCUGCCUCAGUCUCUGCAGUGCUGGGAUUGUAGGCCUAUGCCACCUAGCCUUUCUACAAUACAAACAAAUAUGAAAAGAAGAGGGACUUCUUUGGAAAGGAGUACAGGGACUAUGGAAGAGAUGAAAAGAUAAUAUUGUCAGAAAUUAUGCCGCUUUUGAAGAGAUAAACUGAACUCUUGAUUCUGUGAGGUUAUUAAAGAAUAUUAAUUUUCAAAUCACGGUAAAAUCUUGAUUCAGCAACACAUGAGGAUAAUCAUUGUGUCCAUGGAAACCUUGGGAAGCAGUUGAAAGCCUGGGUUGGAAGGAACAGAGCCAGUUGGCCAUGGACUGAAACUUUUGGAACUGAUUCUGAGGAGUUAAUGUUUCCAUGAAUAUCUCAGAAGGAGAUGUGGACAAACGAACAGUUAUCUCACUCCUGUAGCUGGCUGAGCUUUUUAAAGAUGGCUAUUCUGAAUUCUUCACAGAUGGCACAGUGUCAGAAUCGUGUGUGGCCUCCUGCUGCCUGAACCAUGCCGCUAAGACAGUUGCCCACUGUGCAGCUUCACACCAUCUGCAGAGAGCAACACUGCAGAGCCUUUGGGAGAGCCUUGCCAGUCGCUGAAAGCCUGGCUGACUGCCAAGCCUUGCACUGUAGACUGAAAAUUGCUCUCUUUGCUGAGCUCAGUACUAACACUUAGAUCUUCAUGGUCUCCUGGGAGACCAUGUCAGCUGCUGUUCAGUGAGAUAAAUUUGGAUCAGCUGAAGAUAUGCACUCUCUAUGCCUUCCUUGACUGUCAGCUAAACAGUGUGCACUCCUGGCUUAGUACAGCCUUGGCUGCUGAGAGCCCCAUUCCUCCCCUGUGCUCUUCAUUGUCCUCAUGAUCUGGCUUUCAUCAUCCAUUAUACUCCUAACACUGGGAGUGAAGUGUCAUUGAAGAAUGUUCAUCAGGCACUACCUCAAAGGGCUGGAGAUGAUUGGUGAAUGCUUUGAUUCUUCAUUCCUCCUAGGACACAUAUCAAGCCCCCAGAAUUUCUCUCUAUCCAGUUGCACCAGUGUGAGGAACUUGACGGUGUCAGGAAAGUGAAACUGCUUCUCUGCUCCAUAUAAAUGUCUGUGCAGAUGCAAAGCCAUGCAUUACAUGGUAGCUCACCUUUAAUCCUAGCACUCAGGAGACAGAGGCAGGAGGAUCUCUCCGAGCUCAAGGCCAGCCUGGUCUUCACAGUGAGUUCCAGGACAGCCAAGGCUACACAGGAAUCCUGUGUACAGGUCCUUGGUAUUGCACUCCUCUCUAUAAACACAACUUGCUUUUAGAAUGUGUGGUUGUUAAGUUGUUCUGUGAAGGAUGGAUAAAGGCUAGCUCACUACUACACCCGUCAGCUUGCUCCUGUCACUUCUUCUCACCUUUGAGCACUUAGCAUCCCUCUCCGUGUUGUCUUUGCUGAAAUGCUUGCUAAGGCGAAGCUCCUCUGUAGCUGUCCUCUAGCCCCAGCCAAGAUUCUUUCAAGAUUUUUCUUUGGCCUUCUGUAAUUUGAAUAUGAUGAAUGUUUUUAUUUACUACUUCAUUUUGUAUUUUGAAUCUUUUUUAAACCAUGCCAGGUUCUCUAGGCUCCUGGUUCUGAUAUGAAUUGAGCGAUUAUCUUAGGCCCUUGUGUUUCAAAUCUUUCUUUCUUUCUUUCUUUCUUUCUUCCUUCCUUCCUUCUUUUCUUUUCUUUUCUUUUCUUUUUUUUUUUUGAGACAGGGUUUCUCUGUAUAGCUCUGGCUGUCCUGUAACUCACCCGGUAGAUCAGGCUGUCCUUGAACUCAGAAAUCCGCCUGCCUCUGCCUCCCAAGUGCUGGAAUUAAAGUCAUGUGCCACCACUGCCCGGCUUACUCAAAUAUUUCCUUUUUUUUUUCAGUCCUCUCUAGUGAUCUCAUUAUACAUGUGUAUAUUCUCUAGUUGUCCCAGUUAUAUGAUGUUCUUCUCUCUCUCUCUCUCUUCCCCCCACCCUGUGUGUGUGUGCGCGUGCAUGCGCGCGUGCAUGUACCCAAGGAAACUAGAAAAGGACUUCAACUCCUUGACGAAGGAGGUACAAGCAUUUGUCAGCCACCUGAUACAGGUAGCAGAAUCUAAACUCUGAUCCACAUUAUUAAGCAGCAAGUGCUGUUACCUGCUAAACUAUCUCGCUGAAAUUUAUCUCUUAGAAAGUUUCUAAUAUAUUAUCACUGUCAGGGAUUCUUUGGCUUGGUUCAGUCUGCUAAUAAGCUUAGGAAAGGCAAUUUUCAUUUUGUUGCAAUAUUUUUGAUCUGUAGCUUUUGUUGUUAUUCUUGUUCAUUUUUCAAACCAGGGUUUCUCCACGGCUAUACUGGAACUCUCUGUAGACUAGGCUGGCCUCAAACUCUCAAAUAUCUCACUGCCUCUGCCUCCCAUGUUCUGGGAUUAUAUCCCUCCACUGCCCAACAGCAUUUAUUUUAUUCUUAAGAUUUGUUUUUCCCUGCUCGUUUGUUUGUUUGUCUGUUUGUUUGGUAUGGUCAUUUGUUUGUUUGUUUUGAUGUAUUUGAACUUGCUAUCUUUAUGUGAGGAUAAGCCUAAGUGUGUAAUAUUUCUGUACUCAUCUCCCAAAUGCUGAAAUGUAGACACGAACCACCACACACUAGGUUUGUUUGGUUUUCUUUUGCAUGCAUUUAUUGUAUUGUGUACAGUACUGGUACCAAAGGAGUCCAUCACAUUCUCUAGAACUUGAAUUACAGAUGGUUGUGAGUUGUCACAUGGUGCUGAGAAUUAAACUUGAUCUUCUUCUUUUUUAAAUUUAAAUUUCUUCACUUACAUUUAAAAUGCUAUCUGAAAAGUCCCCCAUUACCCCCCCCCCUCACUCCCCUACCUACCCACUCCCACUACUUGGCCCCGGUGUUCCCUGUACUGGGGCAUAUAAAGUUUGCAAGACCAAGGAGCCUCUCUUCCCAAUGAUGGCCGACUAGGCCAUCUUCUACAUAUGCAACUAGAGACACAAGCUCUGGGGUACUGGUUAGUUCAUAAUGUUAUUCCACCUAUAGGGUUGCAGACCCCUUCAGCUCCUUGGGUACUUGCUCUAGCUCCUCCAUUGGGGACCCUGUGUUCUAAACUUGAUCUUCUGAAGAGUAACCACUAUUGAUUUUAACUGCUAAGUCAUGUCUCCAGUCCCAAAAGAGGUUUUUUUGUUUGUUUGUUUUUCAUUACUGUGAUGAUCCUAUAAUGAAGAAGAGAAUGCUGGUGGUUUGUUUAUGUGUUUGUUUGUUUUUUGAGACAGGGUUUCACUGUGUGUCCUUGGCUGCCCUGGAAUUUAAGCAUCAGACUGGCCUUGAUCUCACAGAGAUCUGCCUACUUUUGCGCUGAGAUUAAAGGUCUGCACUAACACCUCCCAGCCAGAUGUCUCUUUAACAGACUGACUUUACUUCCUCACGAGUAUUAUGAUGGUUUCUUCCUGUCCUGUGAGGAAUGCUAUUGAUUUGGGGUUUGGUUUGUGGAAUUUUUGUUUUCUGGUUUUUUGUAAUUUUUCCCCCCUAAAUAUCAUGCUGUCUUAUUCUUU